Molecule: non-coding RNA, 206 nt
Organism: Nelumbo nucifera (sacred lotus)
Lineage: Eukaryota; Viridiplantae; Streptophyta; Magnoliopsida; Proteales; Nelumbonaceae
Source: RefSeq, a predicted model, not a curated record
UGAAGGUUUCAUUGGGUGUCCAUACCCUCUUAUCUGGCUUGGAGGGAUCCAAACAAACCUGAUUAAGACAACCAAGCAAGACAGAAAGAGAUUCAAUUUCAUCAUCCCUAAGUCCUCUACGAAACCCAAAAUCCCAAGUAGGAUCUAAGGGUGUUCCCAAAGGUGAGACAAAUUUUGAGACCACCUCUUUUUUGUACAAAGAAACA